GUUCCACACACACGACCUCCCCCCCCCCCAGUCUUCAUCUUUUUCAUCCAAACCCUAGCCGCCGCAUGCCCUCGACUCCAUCCGUACCGCCACGCCAAGCCAUCGCUCCCUCGCCAUCCCUUGCCUACGCGUUCGUGAGCCAAUGCCAGUCGACUAGCCGCUCUGUUUGUGGGUUCCAGUCGUGCCAUCGAGGAUUUUGCCAAGCAACGCUCAUGGGUUCUUGUCCGUGUCGUUCGUGGGUUCAUUAGCGUCGCCCCUCGCUCAAGCCACUACGUCCACAUCACCAGUCCAACCGCGAUGCCCGCAUGUUUUCCUUGAUGUACCUGUACGCCUCGCGUAGGCUGUUGCCACCGUCAACCACUUCUCAGAUCUGCCGACGCCCAUGCGUUUUCGCCAGCCGGUCACUGAUGCAUGCGUUUUCGCCGAACUUUUGGAUUUGGGGACGAGAUUUGGAAGGAAGGGCCUGCUGUCCAUUUGGUUCGAGAUAAGAGCGGGCAAGGAAUUGGUUCCAAGUCGUUGUUCAGUGGGAUUUAAAAUCUGUUAAGAGGAGAUUUUGGAGUCGAAAUCUUGUAAUUGUUGUUGAUAAAGUUUCGUUUGGAAUUCUUCUGAUCCCCGUCAUCGAAUCUCUGUACGAAGGUCACCUCUACCAGAUGAGCAAGCCUGAGAGGAAAGCUCUUCUACUCAUCCAUUCUACACGCCGGCAAGCAAAACCACCAUCCAGAUUUGUGUCAAGACGUUGACACUAUUCUGUAUUUGUUUCUAUCUCUUUUCAUCACUUGUCCUCAUCUUUUUAAUAUCUAUUAUUCACACCAUGUAUCAAACGCUUAAUCAUAGUAUUAAUUGUUAUGAUCGUUUCCAUUAUCG
Molecule: RNA transcript, 864 nt
Organism: Benincasa hispida (wax gourd)
Lineage: Eukaryota; Viridiplantae; Streptophyta; Magnoliopsida; Cucurbitales; Cucurbitaceae
Source: RefSeq, a predicted model, not a curated record